AUCACCCUAAGGAGGAGAUAAAGAUCGUGAGCAUAGUGAAAAGGCACCAUGAAGAGGAGAGUAGUCAUAAGAGGUAGAGAGCUCCUUAGAACGGGACAGUGGUCCCCAUGGAGCUCCAGAACUCUGGAGUGGGAUUUCCGACUUCAUGAGGGGGAGAUCAUGGGAAUUCUAGAAUCAGAAUUUGAAAUUGGCAGAGACCUUAGCUAGAUAUAUCAAUAGUUUGAAAAUAAUCAUCUUUAAUAAAAAAGAGAAAUUAAUGGGCCAGACAGUGUGUAACCAAGGAAUCCAGGUCCUAAGGAGAAGAAAAAGAGGAGAAUAAAAGUGGAACAUGCUUAUGUGCUACAGCUGGAUCAGAACAAGCUGCCUAUGUGUAGCACUAAGUCUCAAGGCAAGAAAGGAGGGUAACAGAUUUGGAAUUAACCAGACUGCUUCCAACUUGGACUGGAGUUGGUUUGUCUCCUUUUCUCCUUCCCUCCCUGAUCACUCUUUCUUCUGUUGUCCACUGUUUCUAUGGUCUACUCUUAAAUGCUGAUAGCCAGAGUUUUGUCCUGCAUUUUCUCCCUAAUUCUCUUAUUCUCCUCUCCCAUUCUCCAUGAUUUCAGCCAUCACCUGUAAUGCUUAAUUGCCAGUUUUUGUUUCUCAGCACAUACUUUAUUUCUGAAUAAAAAUUUAAAGCAAAGUAUAACCACUUAAGUUUUUUUAUGUAUAUAUACACACAUAUGUAAAAGUUCAUAUAUAUAUAUACUAUUUAAAUUGUCAAGUAGUUUGAUAAGAUAUACAAAAUAAAUAAAUAAAAAACAGAAGUUCUCUG
Long non-coding RNA from Equus caballus (horse), 811 nucleotides. RefSeq lists it as uncharacterized. The record is from RefSeq and is a predicted model, not a curated record. NCBI's taxonomy places the organism in Eukaryota, Metazoa, Chordata, Mammalia, Perissodactyla, Equidae.